AGUCGAGCGGUAGCACAGGGGAGCUUGCUCCCUGGGUGACGAGCGGCGGACGGGUGAGUAAUGUCUGGGAAACUGCCUGAUGGAGGGGGAUAACUACUGGAAACGGUAGCUAAUACCGCAUAACGUCGCAAGACCAAAGAGGGGGACCUUCGGGCCUCUUGCCAUCAGAUGUGCCCAGAUGGGAUUAGCUAGUAGGUGGGGUAACGGCUCACCUAGGCGACGAUCCCUAGCUGGUCUGAGAGGAUGACCAGCCACACUGGAACUGAGACACGGUCCAGACUCCUACGGGAGGCAGCAGUGGGGAAUAUUGCACAAUGGGCGCAAGCCUGAUGCAGCCAUGCCGCGUGUGUGAAGAAGGCCUUCGGGUUGUAAAGCACUUUCAGCGAGGAGGAAGGUGGUGAGCUUAAUACGCUCAUCAAUUGACGUUACUCGCAGAAGAAGCACCGGCUAACUCCGUGCCAGCAGCCGCGGUAAUACGGAGGGUGCAAGCGUUAAUCGGAAUUACUGGGCGUAAAGCGCACGCAGGCGGUUUGUUAAGUCAGAUGUGAAAUCCCCGGGCUCAACCUGGGAACUGCAUUUGAAACUGGCAAGCUAGAGUCUCGUAGAGGGGGGUAGAAUUCCAGGUGUAGCGGUGAAAUGCGUAGAGAUCUGGAGGAAUACCGGUGGCGAAGGCGGCCCCCUGGACGAAGACUGACGCU
RNAcentral lists this ribosomal RNA (698 nucleotides) under uncultured Enterobacterales bacterium. RNAcentral describes it as "bacterial SSU rRNA". It matches the Rfam family "Bacterial small subunit ribosomal RNA", at positions 60 to 747 of the family's 1533-position model. The record is from RNAcentral. Lineage: Bacteria; Pseudomonadati; Pseudomonadota; Gammaproteobacteria; Enterobacterales.